UGGGGAAUAUUGGACAAUGGGCGAAAGCCUGAUCCAGCCAUGCCGCGUGUGUGAAGAAGGUCUUCGGAUUGUAAAGCACUUUAAGUUGGGAGGAAGGGCAGUAAGCGAAUACCUUGCUGUUUUGACGUUACCGACAGAAUAAGCACCGGCUAACUCUGUGCCAGCAGCCGCGGUAAUACAGAGGGUGCAAGCGUUAAUCGGAAUUACUGGGCGUAAAGCGCGCGUAGGUGGUUCGUUAAGUUGAAUGUGAAAGCCCCGGGCUCAACCUGGGAACUGCAUCCAAAACUGGCGAGCUAGAGUAGGGCUGAGGGUGGUGGAAUUUCCUGUGUAGCGGUGAAAUGCGUAGAUAUAGGAAGGAACACCAGUGGCGAAGGCGACCACCUGGGCUCAUACUGACACUGAGGUGCGAAAGCGUGGGGAGCAAACAGG
This 429-nucleotide ribosomal RNA is filed under the name Pseudomonadota bacterium. RNAcentral describes it as "Proteobacteria bacterium partial 16S ribosomal RNA". It matches the Rfam family "Bacterial small subunit ribosomal RNA", at positions 355 to 776 of the family's 1533-position model. Lineage: Bacteria; Pseudomonadati; Pseudomonadota. The record is from RNAcentral.